CCUACGGGAGGCAGCAGUGAGGAAUAUUGGUCAAUGGGCUGACGCCUGAACCAGCCAAGUCGCGUGAGGGAAGACUGCCCUAUGGGUUGUAAACCUCUUUUGUCAGGGAGCAACGCCGGCUACGUGUAGCCGGACUGAGAGUACCUGAAGAAAAAGCAUCGGCUAACUCCGUGCCAGCAGCCGCGGUAAUACGGAGGAUGCGAGCGUUAUCCGGAUUGAUUGGGUUUAAAGUGUGCGUAGGCGGAAUGCCAAGUCAGCGGUAAAAUCGCGGGGCUCAACCUCGCUCCGCCGUUGAAACUGGCGUUCUUGAGUGGGCGAGAAGUAUGCGGAAUGCGUGGUGUAGCGGUGAAAUGCAUAGAUAUCACGCAGAACUCCGAUUGCGAAGGCAGCAUACCGGCGCCCAACUGACGCUGAAGCACGAAAGCGUGGGUAUCGAACAGGAUUAGAUACCCCGGUAGUC
Molecule: ribosomal RNA, 460 nt
Filed under: uncultured bacterium
Lineage: Bacteria
Description: partial 16S ribosomal RNA
Rfam family: Bacterial small subunit ribosomal RNA
Source: RNAcentral